AAGCAGCAGCUGGAAGGUGCUGUUUGGAACAAGAAGAGCAGUUUGGUAAACUAGUCAUUCUCACAGUAGCUAUUCUUCCUAAUACUGAUAGUUAAAAGAGGAUGGGAAGAAGAGCACUCUGGACAGCUAAGAAUAACAAGCAACAUUGAAAAGGAAAGCAAACCGAGCCAGAAAUCAAAAUAU
Protobothrops mucrosquamatus (brown spotted pit viper) is the source of this 183-nucleotide long non-coding RNA. RefSeq lists it as uncharacterized. The transcript is spliced from 3 exons. The record is from RefSeq and is a predicted model, not a curated record. Lineage: Eukaryota; Metazoa; Chordata; Lepidosauria; Squamata; Viperidae.